Molecule: ribosomal RNA, 463 nt
Filed under: uncultured bacterium
Lineage: Bacteria
Description: bacterial SSU rRNA
Rfam family: Bacterial small subunit ribosomal RNA
Source: RNAcentral
CCAGACUCCUACGGGAGGCAGCAGUGAGGAAUAUUGGUCAAUGGUCGGGAGACUGAACCAGCCAAGCCGCGUGAGGGAUGAAGGUACAGAGUAUCGUAAACCUCUUUUGUCAGGGAACAAAGGCGGGGACGUGUCCCCGGAUGAGUGUACCUGAAGAAAAAGCAUCGGCUAACUCCGUGCCAGCAGCCGCGGUAAUACGGAGGAUGCGAGCGUUAUCCGGAUUUAUUGGGUUUAAAGGGUGCGUAGGCGGGCUGUUAAGUCAGCGGUCAAAUGUCGGGGCUCAACCCCGGCCUGCCGUUGAAACUGACGGUCUUGAGUGGGCGAGAAGUAUGCGGAAUGCGUGGUGUAGCGGUGAAAUGCAUAGAUAUCACGCAGAACUCCGAUUGCGAAGGCAGUAUACCGGCGCCCAACUGACGCUGAAGCACGAAAGCGUGGGUAUCGAACAGGAUUAGAUACCCCCGUA